GGAUUUUCACCCACCAAGGAAGCACUCAAAUGUAGAGAAGGAAAAAAGAACCUUGGAACAGAAUGAUCAUAUGCAACUAGAGACAAAUAUUUCUAGUUCAUACCAGGUUGACAAGAACAGUUGAUUAGUAGGGAAGAUGGUGACCGGAAGGGACAUGGCUAUGGCGAACAUUGGUGGCAACUAUAGAUGUUUUGUGUACAUAAUUUAGAUUGUUUUUAUUUUGCACAUGAUGUUCUGAACAACAUUUUUAUUGGCAUGAAU
Long non-coding RNA from Oryza brachyantha (malo sina), 261 nucleotides. RefSeq lists it as uncharacterized. The record is from RefSeq and is a predicted model, not a curated record. NCBI's taxonomy places the organism in Eukaryota, Viridiplantae, Streptophyta, Magnoliopsida, Poales, Poaceae. The transcript is spliced from 3 exons.